CCUUAUUCUGUGAUGGCUGAAAAGCUAAUUGCACAGUUUCAACAGUUUCACGGCUCAUCCUAUACUCUUCUUGGGCACACACUGCUAUGAGGUCAUUCAAAUUCCACUUAUCCCGCUGAGCAUUGUAAGCAACCUUAAGCUGAUUAAACUUGCUAGGAAGGCUAUUCAAAACAUGAUAGACUAGGAAAGGCUCCGCAAUGGGAAUGUCAAGAGCCUUUAACUUAGAUGAUAUAUUUAUCAUUUUCAUAACAUGCUCUCUAACACCAUUUGUGCCAUCAUAUUUCAUGCUCAUAAAUUUAUCCAUCAGAUCCCCAGUUUCG
This 320-nucleotide long non-coding RNA is filed under the name Olea europaea (common olive). RNAcentral describes it as "long non-coding RNA (OEUR_LNC011148)". The record is from RNAcentral. Lineage: Eukaryota; Viridiplantae; Streptophyta; Magnoliopsida; Lamiales; Oleaceae.